This 858-nucleotide ribosomal RNA is filed under the name Pseudomonas fluorescens. RNAcentral describes it as "bacterial SSU rRNA". It matches the Rfam family "Bacterial small subunit ribosomal RNA", at positions 100 to 969 of the family's 1533-position model. Lineage: Bacteria; Pseudomonadati; Pseudomonadota; Gammaproteobacteria; Pseudomonadales; Pseudomonadaceae. The record is from RNAcentral.
GGACGGGUGAUUAAUGCCUAGGAAUCUGCCUGGUAGUGGGGGAUAACGUUCGGAAACGGACGCUAAUACCGCAUACGUCCUACGGGAGAAAGCAGGGGACCUUCGGGCCUUGCGCUAUCAGAUGAGCCUAGGUCGGAUUAGCUAGUUGGUGAGGUAAUGGCUCACCAAGGGGACGAUCCGUAACUGGUCUGAGAGGAUGAUCAGUCACACUGGAACUGAGACACGGUCCAGACUCCUACGGGAGGCAGCAGUGGGGAAUUGGACAAUGGGCGAAAGCCUGAUCCAGCCAUGCCGCGUGUGUGAAGAGGUCUUCGGAUUGUAAAGCACUUUAAGUUGGGAGGAAGGGUUUAGAUUAAUACUCUGCAAUUUUGACGUUACCGACAGAAUAAGCACCGGCUAACUCUGUGCCAGCAGCCGCGGUAAUACAGAGGGUGCAAGCGUUAAUCGGAAUUACUGGGCGUAAGCGCGCGUAGGUGGUUUGUUAAGUUGGAUGUGAAAUCCCCGGGCUCAACCUGGGAACUGCAUUCAAAACUGACUGACUAGAGUAUGGUAGAGGGUGGUGGAAUUUCCUGUGUAGCGGUGAAAUGCGUAGAUAUAGGAAGGAACACCAGUGGCGAAGGCGACCACCUGGCUAAUACUGACACUGAGGUGCGAAAGCGUGGGGAGCACACAGGAUUAGAUACCCUGGUAGUCCACGCCGUAAACGAUGUCAACAGCCGUUGGAAGCCUUGAGCUUUUAGUGGCGCAGCUAACGCAUUAAGUUGACCGCCUGGGGAGUACGGCCGCAAGGUAAAACUCAAAUGAAUUGACGGGGCCCGCACAGCGGUGAGCAUGUGGUUUAUUCGAGCACGCGAGACC